RNAcentral lists this ribosomal RNA (445 nucleotides) under uncultured bacterium. Its description in RNAcentral is "partial 16S ribosomal RNA". It matches the Rfam family "Bacterial small subunit ribosomal RNA", at positions 354 to 796 of the family's 1533-position model. The record is from RNAcentral.
GUAAGGAAUAUUGGUCAAUGGAGGCAACUCUGAACCAGCCAUGCCGCGUGCAGGAAGACGGCCCUCUGGGUUGUAAACUGCUUUUAUCUAGGAAUAAACCUACUUACGUGUAAGUAGCUGAAUGUACUAGAAGAAUAAGGAUCGGCUAACUCCGUGCCAGCAGCCGCGGUAAUACGGAGGAUCCAAGCGUUAUCCGGAUUUAUUGGGUUUAAAGGGUGCGUAGGCGGCCUAUUAAGUCAGGGGUGAAAGACGGUAGCUCAACUAUCGCAGUGCACUUGAUACUGAUGGGCUUGAAUGAACUAGAGGUAGGCGGAAUGUGACAAGUAGCGGUGAAAUGUUUAGAUAUGUCACAGAACACCGAUUGCGAAGGCAGCUUACUAUGGUUUUAUUGACGCUGAGGCACGAAAGCGUGGGGAUCAAACAGGAUUAGAAACCCUGGUAGUCC